GAGGUAUUAGUAAAAUAUUUACAUAACUUUGUCAAAGUUAAAAUAUAGGUUAAAGUCCUUUAUAUCUCC
RNAcentral lists this transfer RNA (69 nucleotides) under Scaptochirus moschatus (short-faced mole). RNAcentral describes it as "tRNA-Asp". It matches the Rfam family "tRNA". Rfam says of the family: Transfer RNA (tRNA) molecules are approximately 80 nucleotides in length. Their secondary structure includes four short double-helical elements and three loops (D, anti-codon, and T loops). The record is from RNAcentral. Lineage: Eukaryota; Metazoa; Chordata; Mammalia; Eulipotyphla; Talpidae.